UCAGGACGAACGCUGGCGGCGUGCCUAACACAUGCAAGUCGAGCGGGGACAUGCGACGGAAGCGAAGUUUCGGAUGGAGCGGAAGAUGUAUGUUCUAGCGGCGGACGGGUGAGUAACGCGUGAGCAACCUGUCCCUUACAGGGGGAUAACACAGCGAAAGUUGUACUAAUACCGCAUAAGACCACGGAUUCACAUGGAUCAGGGGGUCAAAGGAGCAAUCCGGUAAGGGGUGGGCUCGCGUCCGAUUAGAUAGUUGGUGAGGUAACGGCCCACCAAGUCGACGAUCGGUAGCCGACCUGAGAGGGUGAUCGGCCACAUUGGGACUGAGACACGGCCCAAACUCCUACGGGAGGCAGCAGUGGGGAAUAUUGGGCAAUGGGGGAAACCCUCGACCCAGCAACGCCGCGUGAGGGAAGAAGGUUUUCGGAUCGUAAACCUCUGUCCUUGGUGAAGAGUAAGAGACGGUAGCCAAGGAGGAAGCCCCGGCUAACUACGUGCCAGCAGCAGC
This 508-nucleotide ribosomal RNA is filed under the name uncultured bacterium. Its description in RNAcentral is "bacterial SSU rRNA". It matches the Rfam family "Bacterial small subunit ribosomal RNA", at positions 24 to 518 of the family's 1533-position model. The record is from RNAcentral.